CACGAGCGCACCCUCGUCCUUAGUUGCCAUCAUUUAGUUGGGCACUCUAAGGAAACCGCCGGUGAUAAGCCGGAGGAAGGUGGGGAUGACGUCAAGUCCUCAUGGCCCUUACACGCUGGGCUACACACGUGCUACAAUGGCGGUGACAGUGGGCUGCAAACCAGCAAUGGUGAGCUAAUCUCCAAAAGCCGUCUCAGUUCGGAUUGUUCUCUGCAACUCCAGAGCAUGAAGGUGGAAUCGCUAGUAAUCGCGGAUCAGCAUGCCGCGGUGAAUACGUUCCCAGGCCUUGUACACACCGCCCGU
This 303-nucleotide ribosomal RNA is filed under the name uncultured Alphaproteobacteria bacterium. Its description in RNAcentral is "bacterial SSU rRNA". It matches the Rfam family "Bacterial small subunit ribosomal RNA", at positions 1091 to 1397 of the family's 1533-position model. Lineage: Bacteria; Pseudomonadati; Pseudomonadota; Alphaproteobacteria. The record is from RNAcentral.